UACGUAGGGUGCGAGCGUUGUCCGGAAUUAUUGGGCGUAAAGAGCUUGUAGGCGGUUUGUCGCGUCUGCUGUGAAAAUCCGGGGCUCAACCCCGGACUUGCAGUGGGUACGGGCAGACUGGAGUGUGGUAGGGGAGACUGGAAUUCCUGGUGUAGCGGUGGAAUGCGCAGAUAUCAGGAGGAACACCGAUGGCGAAGGCAGGUCUCUGGGCCUGUCCUGACGCUCAGGCGCGAAAGCUAGGGGAGCAAACAGG
RNAcentral lists this ribosomal RNA (253 nucleotides) under uncultured bacterium. RNAcentral's name for it is "partial 16S ribosomal RNA". It matches the Rfam family "Bacterial small subunit ribosomal RNA", at positions 524 to 776 of the family's 1533-position model. The record is from RNAcentral.